RNAcentral lists this ribosomal RNA (497 nucleotides) under uncultured bacterium. Its description in RNAcentral is "partial 16S ribosomal RNA". It matches the Rfam family "Bacterial small subunit ribosomal RNA", at positions 28 to 507 of the family's 1533-position model. The record is from RNAcentral.
GAUGAACGCUGGCGGCGUGCCUAAUACAUGCAAGUCGAGCGAACAGACGAGGAGCUUGCUCCUCUGACGUUAGCGGCGGACGGGUGAGUAACACGUGGAUAACCUACCUAUAAGACUGGGAUAACUUCGGGAAACCGGAGCUAAUACCGGAUAAUAUAUUGAACCGCAUGGUUCAAUAGUGAAAGACGGUUUUGCUGUCACUUAUAGAUGGAUCCGCACCGCAUUAGCUAGUUGGUAAGGUAACGGCUUACCAAGGCAACGAUGCGUAGCCGACCUGAGAGGGUGAUCGGCCACACUGGAGCUGAGACACGGUCCAGACUCCUACGGGAGGCAGCAGUAGGGAAGCUUCCGCAAUGGGCGAAAGCCUGACGGAGCGACGCCGCGUGAGUGAUGAAGGUCUUCGGAUCGGAAAACUCUGUUAUUAGGGAAGAACAAAUGUGUAAGUAACUAUGCACGUCUUGACGGUACCUAAUCAGAAAGCCCCGGCUAACUACGUG